CUGGUGGCGANUGGCGAACGGGUGAGUAAUACAUCGGAACGUGUCCUGUANUGGGGGAUAGCCCGGCGAAAGCCGGAUUAAUACCGCAUACGCUCUACGGAGGAAAGGGGGGGAUCUUAGGACCUCCCGCUACAGGGGCGGCCGAUGGCAGAUUAGCUAGUUGGUGGGGUAAAGGCCUACCAAGGCGACGAUCUGUAGCUGGUCUGANAGGACGACCAGCCACACUGGGACUGAGACACGGCCCAGACUCCUACGGGAGGCAGCAGUGGGGAAUUUUGGACAAUGGGGGAAACCCUGAUCCAGCAAUGCCGCGUGUGUGAAGAAGGCCUUCGGGUUGUAAAGCACUUUUGUCCGGAAAGAAAACCUCUGGGUUAAUACCCCGGGGGGAUGACGGUACCGGAAGAAUAANCACCGGCUAACUACGUGCCAGCAGCCGCGGUAAUACNUAGGGUGCAAGCGUUAAUCGGAAUUACUGGGCGUAAAGCGUGCGCAGGCGGUCCGCUAANACANAUGUGAAAUCCCCGGGCUUAACCUGGGAACUGCAUUUGUGACUGGCGGGCUANAGUAUGGCAGAGGGGGGUAGAAUUCCACGUGUANCANUGAAAUGCGUANAGAUGUGGAGGAAUACCGAUGGCGAANGCNGCCCCCUGGGCCAAUACUGAC
Molecule: ribosomal RNA, 663 nt
Filed under: Paraburkholderia sp.
Lineage: Bacteria; Pseudomonadati; Pseudomonadota; Betaproteobacteria; Burkholderiales; Burkholderiaceae
Description: bacterial SSU rRNA
Rfam family: Bacterial small subunit ribosomal RNA
Source: RNAcentral